AAAAACAUUGCUUCAUGAAUCCCGAUAUGAAGUAAUUCCUGCCCAGUGAUUCAACGGCCGCGGUAUCCUAACCGUGCAAAGGUAGCAUAAUCACUUGCCCAUUAAUUGUGGGCUAGAACGAACGGAACAACGAAAUAAGAACUGUCUCCAUAGUUUCCAUAAAAAUUAAUCUUCAAUUGAAGAACAUUGAAUUUCAUUGAAGGACAAGAAGACCCUAUAGAGCUUUAUUUUAAAGGGUAGCGAACCCCCUUAAAAUUCGGUUGGGGCGACCCGGGAAGUAAUAAAUCAUCCCUAUAAAGAAGAUUAAUCAAUCUCACCCUCGACCCUUAUUCAAGAUCACAAGAAUAAGCUACCUUAGGGAUAACAGGCUAAUCCCAUUAAAGAGUCCUUAUUAAUAAUGGGGUUUGGCACCUCGAUGUUGGCUUAGGGAAUCUAUGAGACGCAAAAGUCACAUAAAGAUGGUUUGUUCAACCAAUAAUACCCUACAUGAUCU
Molecule: ribosomal RNA, 493 nt
Filed under: Dendrobaena herculis
Lineage: Eukaryota; Metazoa; Annelida; Clitellata; Crassiclitellata; Lumbricidae
Description: Dendrobaena sp. 5 TS-2015 partial 16S ribosomal RNA
Rfam family: Bacterial large subunit ribosomal RNA
Source: RNAcentral